AGCGAACGCUGGCGGCAGGCCUAACACAUGCAAGUCGAACGAACUCUUCGGAGUUAGUGGCGGACGGGUGAGUAACACGUGGGAACGUGCCUUUUGGUUCGGAAUAACUCAGGGAAACUUGUGCUAAUACCGAAUGUGCCCUUCGGGGGAAAGAUUUAUCGCCAUUAGAGCGGCCCGCGUCUGAUUAGCUGGUUGGUGAGGUAACGGCUCACCAAGGCGACGAUCAGUAGCUGGUCUGAGAGGAUGACCAGCCACACUGGGACUGCGACACGGCCCAGACUCCUACGGGAGGCAGCAGUGGGGAAUCUUGCGCAAUGGGCGAAAGCCUGACGCCGCCAUGCCGCGUGAAUGAUGAAGGUCUUAGGAUUGUAAAAUUCUUUCACCGGGGACGAUAAUGACGGUACCCGGAGAAGAAGCCCCGGCUAACUUCGUG
This 433-nucleotide ribosomal RNA is filed under the name uncultured bacterium. RNAcentral describes it as "partial 16S ribosomal RNA". It matches the Rfam family "Bacterial small subunit ribosomal RNA", at positions 29 to 507 of the family's 1533-position model. The record is from RNAcentral.